Molecule: ribosomal RNA, 390 nt
Filed under: uncultured bacterium
Lineage: Bacteria
Description: bacterial SSU rRNA
Rfam family: Bacterial small subunit ribosomal RNA
Source: RNAcentral
UCAGAGGGGAAUAACCCGGCGAAAGUACGGACUAAUACCGCAUAAAACAGGGGCACGCAUGUGAUAUUUGUUAAGAAAUUCGCUGAUAGAUGGGCAUGCGUUCCAUUAGGUAGUUGGUGAGGUAACGGCUCACCAAGCCGACGAUGGAUAGGGGAACUGAGACGGUUGGUCCCCCACACUGGUACUGAGACACGGACCAGACUCCUACGGGAGGCAGCAGUGAGGAAUAUUGGUCAAUGGGCGGGAGCCUGAACCAGCCAAGUCGCGUGAAGGGAAAAGAAGGAUCUAUGGUUCGUAAACUUCUUUUGCAGGGGGAAUAAAGUGCAGGACGUGUCCUGUUUUGUAUGUACCCUGAGAAUAAGGAUCGGCUAACUCCGUGCCAGCAGCUGC